RNAcentral lists this ribosomal RNA (344 nucleotides) under uncultured soil bacterium. RNAcentral's name for it is "bacterial SSU rRNA". It matches the Rfam family "Bacterial small subunit ribosomal RNA", at positions 26 to 373 of the family's 1533-position model. The record is from RNAcentral.
AGGACGAACGCUGGCGGCAUGCCUAACACAUGCAAGUCGAACGGGAUGGAGCCUUCGGGCUCCGGCGAGUGGCGAACGGGUGAGUAACACGUGGGUAACCUGCCCUUCACUGGGGGACAACCGAGGGAAACUUCGGCUAAUACCGCAUGAUGUGCGAUGCCAUGAGGUGUCGUACCAAAACUCCGGUGGUGAAGGAUGGGCCCGCGGCGGAUUAGCUAGUUGGUGGGUAAUGGCCUACCAAGGCGACGAUCCGUAGCUGGUCUGAGAGGACGAUCAGCCACACUGGGACUGAGACACGGCCCAGACUCCGUACGGGAGGCAGCAGUGGGGAAUCUUGCGCAAGU